GACGAACGCUGGCGGUGUGCUUCACACAUGCAAGUCGAACGAGGUAGCAAUACCUAGUGGCGGACGGGUGAGUAACGCGUGGGAAUCUGCCUUUAGAUGGGGGAUAACGAGCCGAAAGGUUCGCUAAUACCGCAUAGGUCGCAAGAUUAAAGGAGUAAUCCGUCUAGAGAUGAGCCCGCGUCCGAUUAGCUAGUUGGUAGGGUAAAGGCCUACCAAGGCGACGAUCGGUAGCUGGUCUGAGAGGAUGAUCAGCCACAAUGGGACUGAGACACGGCCCAUACUCCUACGGGAGGCAGCAGUGGGGAAUUUUACGCAAUGGGCGAAAGCCUGACGUAGCGACACCGCGUGAGCGAAGAAGCCCUUUGGGUGUAAAGCUCUGUCGGGCUGGAACGAAAAAAAUGACGGUACCAGCAAAGGAAGCAUCGGCUAAC
This 431-nucleotide ribosomal RNA is filed under the name uncultured bacterium. Its description in RNAcentral is "bacterial SSU rRNA". It matches the Rfam family "Bacterial small subunit ribosomal RNA", at positions 28 to 501 of the family's 1533-position model. The record is from RNAcentral.